UGAACUGAUUGUGUUUUAGACCAAAUGGAGGAGGAAAGACUAAAGAGGAGAAAGUCGAAAGCACAAAGAAAAGAAAAGAAAAAAUAGAUGGAAUUGCUACAUAAUUUUUUAGUUACAUGGGAUUUGUACUUGCAUAAACUCUUAACCUGAAUACGGAGUCUGAAAAUUUAGUUCCUUAGUGACCUUCCAUUGUUAAAUUUCCAGCUUUGUGUUCAUCUUUGCUGAAUUCAGGAAGUGGCAGCAGCACAAGGGAGUGAACUGAUUGUGUUUUAGACCAAAUGGAGGAGGAAAGAAGAGAAAGUCGAAAACGCGGAGAAAAGAAAAGAAAAAAUAGAUGGAAUUGCUACAUAAUUUUUAGUUAAAUGGGAUUUGUACUAGCAUAAACUCUAACCUGAAUACGGAGUCUGAAAAUUUAGUUCCUUAGUGACCUUCCAUUGUUAAAUUUCCAGCUUUGCUGACAACUAGAAGCCCAGUGAUCAUCUUUGCUGAUUUUUUUCUAAUUUUGGGACGUAUAAAACGAAUGUUCUGCUCUGGUUGCAAAUUGCAACAGAAGACAGGAAAAAAAUAUUAAUUAUCCCCAUACAUAAGCUAUGUAUAUAAACACUGGCAUGAAAAAACUAGUCAAUCAGCCCGUAAAGCAGUAAUAUUUUGCAAUCAUAUAUUGUCUUCCUGGUUCUCAAUAGUCAAUUUGUCUAGUAUCGUAGUAAUUAUUUUUUUCUUCCCUAAA
This 727-nucleotide long non-coding RNA is filed under the name Nicotiana benthamiana. RNAcentral describes it as "long non-coding RNA (NBEN_LNC014502)". Lineage: Eukaryota; Viridiplantae; Streptophyta; Magnoliopsida; Solanales; Solanaceae. The record is from RNAcentral.